UCGUGUUGCAAGACAGACUGUCUUACCUAACAGUGAGAAGGAGAAGUGUUUUUUUAAAGUUAAAUCAACAACUUUGAGAGUACGUUAAGUAUUCUCAUCUCAUGCUAAAUCCUCGUCUCUGUUUCUGACAAGGUUAAUAUUGAUCUUUGUAUUAUUUAUCUAUUUAGUUAAAUAGUAAACACUUACAGUAUAGUCUUUAUGUUAUGCCAUAAAGUGUUUGUUUUUGCAAUGUACGUACAGGAAUAAGAUUGUUACUGACUGUGAGUAGUUUUUCAGUAAGGAUCAGGUCACUGCAUGAGAGAUCAGGGUGAGGGCGACUUGUUUCAGGUCGAUGAGAAAGUCAAACAACAUAAACUGAGUCUAUAUGAAAACACAAAAGACAGCUAAAAUGCAUUUUAAGCAGACGUUUUUGUGGGUUCUACAUCUGUGCAUAGACAGGCUAAAUCUGUUCAUAAGUGCUUCAGUUUCAUGACAGUAGCCUAGUAAAUAGAGUUUACAUAUUUAAAAUCAGUUUACAUAUAACAUUGAUUCUUAAUUCUUGAUAUUGUUUAAUGUCAUUUAUUCACCGAUUGUAUUAAAGGACUCUCGUCGUGUAAUACUGUCACAGAGCAGUUGUUCUUGUGUUGCAGGGACAGCACAUUGUUGCACUACUCAGAGCUCAGUGAAGUUCACAGCUGUACUGAAACGGUUGAGAGCUGACACAGACCUAGAACAAUGAGGUUCUGUCUGCAAGACCCAAAGAAAUGAGCUUGCUGAUGUAUUAAGGAGUACCUUUUAAAAGAGUGUCACCUGUAAGCUGCCUGACCUCACAGUCCUCCAAGUAGCAGAGGCGUUUAAGGACCUUGCCAGUGCUGUAGCCCCUUCGGUCACCACUAUCAGGAUGUCACAUGUCAAUUCUUUGGUGGAUUUUGGCUUUGGCAGAGUUUAG
Misgurnus anguillicaudatus (oriental weatherfish) is the source of this 928-nucleotide non-coding RNA. The record is from RefSeq and is a predicted model, not a curated record. Lineage: Eukaryota; Metazoa; Chordata; Actinopteri; Cypriniformes; Cobitidae.